GGCAAAAUACAUAAAGACAUAAUUAAAGUUGAUCCCAUAUAUCUAUCUCACAUCCUAACUUACAAGGGGCCAUAUAAACACUUCAACUUAGCACAAGUAUGUCUUGUGGACACGCUGAGAUGACAUGGCAAAAUAUUUGAUUUUCACACAACUUUGGCCGCCUGAAAGCUCUUAAAAUUAUAUUUUUGUUUUAUUUUUUUCAUGUGGGGCCCACUUUCUUCAUCCUUAAUCAAGCAAUAACGAGCACCACCCUUCUGCCACCGUAGCCGCCGCCACCUUGGCAGCCGACCUUCCUAUCUCCAUCAUUUUCAGAUCCAAUUUUCAUCGGUCAAAAGAUGUAGCCAAAGAACAUUCUCUUCGCCAUCUUUCAUCGCCACCAUCCUCCAUAUUUUCUCCAUGAGCCCACUCGAAAACCACUAAAAAUGUCGUGAACCUCCACCAUCUUCUCCGACUUAUCACCAAAAAUUUCAGUUUCUUCCUCCAUUAACCCCACUUCUCCAAGCACCAAUAGCGUCAUGUAUUACCGCCAAAACGCUUUUACUCCACCAUAACACAAAAUACCAUAUCAGCUCCAAAGUUAUCCUCCAGUUCAGUCAUCAAAACCACGAUUUUUUUCAAAAAAUUCAAAGCACCACCACGGUUGUUUUAUCUAAUUUGCAGAGAAACAUUUGAGAUUCAGGUGUUCAUGAGACACAUUUGUGUCAACUUGAAGCGUCUAUAUGAUCACCUGGUAGUCUCGCCUGAGUGUUCGAAUUUUGGCUUAAGCUCUCAAUUUUGUGGAUAAUGUCUCUCACACCAAGAGUCGAUUCAUAUCGAUGUGGUCAUGAAUGUCAAUUAAAAAUUCAUGGUCUCCAUCUAAUCCUGGAAGGAGGUUAUAUGGAUGUAAAAUUGAAAAAGACAAAGGUGGAUGUAAGUAUUUUAGGUGGGUUGAUGAUGAGUUUCCUAGCCAAGCGAAUAGGGUUAUUUGGGAUUUAUCGAACAGAGUCAAAACUUUUGAAGAAGAAAGGGCUCGAGCAAGAAUAUGGAGGAGGAAAUUGGCUUCUAUUAUAGUAAUAAUGCUAAUUAUCUGGGUUUGCUACUGUGCCGUCGAUCGUUGAAGUUGUUGUGGUUUUGCUGGUGGUUGGAGCAGAAGCUUUUUUUGGUCAUUAUGUCAUCUAUGUCUUAGCUGCUGUAUUUUGUGUUUGUAGUGGUGGUUGAUAUAUUUUGGGUGUGUCUUAACUAGUAGUUUGCUUGAAUGUAAUUGUGGCUUGUGGCCUUAUUUCAAUGAAAUGAAGAAAUUUUCUGCCAUUCUUUUUA
This is a long non-coding RNA of Nicotiana attenuata, 1296 nucleotides long. RefSeq lists it as uncharacterized. Lineage: Eukaryota; Viridiplantae; Streptophyta; Magnoliopsida; Solanales; Solanaceae. The record is from RefSeq and is a predicted model, not a curated record. The transcript has 4 exons.